AUGAUAUCUGCUGGCCUCCGCAAAGGGAGAGAAGUAAUCCCAUCCCAGAGAGAGGGCUUCCAACCCACCCACCCUCUGCUGCUGGUUGAUCUGUCGGGCCUCUGCAUCCUCUCUGCUCCUUCCUCCCGUCUCCGUAGGCGCAGGCAAAUCUCGCUCCCUAUCCUACACCUUCGAAGCACAGUCCCAGGCGUGCGCUCUGGCCAGGAUGGGGGCGGUUGCCUCAGGCCGCGCCUCGCGCAGCGGCAACCUUCCUCUUCCCCCCUCUGCGCCCUGCCGACGAGGACGGCGGUUGGCCCCCCAGGACGCGCACAACAGCAAGAUGGGGGCGGAUCGACCAUUGUGUCCUUUAUGCCGUGGAGUCUUUCAGAGAUUCCCACCUGCAGCUUGGAUUUUGUAGACGAGACACGAGAGCAAGUGGAAAUACUCCCCACCUUCGCUGCAUCGUCUUUUCAACUCCGGGCAGCCUCCUAUGCUCAAGCUUUCGAGGGCGGGCAACCGCUCCAGGAGACCAUGCGGGAAUUCCUCCAAAGCUGGACAACCCAUAAUACUCAAUCGCCUAAGAGAAGUGAGGCCACACAUCCCAUCCGGCAGCGCUUUCAGGCCACUGCAGAAAUUCACUUCGAGACUUCUCAGUUUUGCCAGAUUCCCGAGGUUCGAAGGCAGUGCUACCACACUGAGGCAGCCUAA
Molecule: ribosomal RNA, 687 nt
Filed under: Triticum aestivum (bread wheat)
Lineage: Eukaryota; Viridiplantae; Streptophyta; Magnoliopsida; Poales; Poaceae
Description: partial small subunit ribosomal RNA
Source: RNAcentral